This 253-nucleotide ribosomal RNA is filed under the name uncultured bacterium. RNAcentral's name for it is "partial 16S ribosomal RNA". It matches the Rfam family "Bacterial small subunit ribosomal RNA", at positions 524 to 776 of the family's 1533-position model. The record is from RNAcentral.
UACGAAGGGUGCUAGCGUUGUUCGGAAUUACUGGGCGUAAAGCGCGCGUAGGCGGCUUAACAAGUCAGGGGUGAAAUCCUGGGGCUCAACCCCAGAAUUGCCCUUGAAACUGUUGAGCUUGAGUGUCGGAGGGGAUAGCGGAAUUCCUAAUGUAGAGGUGAAAUUCGUAGAUAUUAGGAGGAACACCGGUGGCGAAGGCGGCUAUCUGGACGACAACUGACGCUGAGGCGCGAAAGCGCGGGGAUCAAACAGG